AGUGAACGCUGGCGGUAGGCCUAACACAUGCAAGUCGAACGGCAGCACAGUAAGAGCUUGCUCUUACGGGUGGCGAGUGGCGGACGGGUGAGGAAUACAUCGGAAUCUACUUUUUCGUGGGGGAUAACGUAGGGAAACUUACGCUAAUACCGCAUACGACCUACGGGUGAAAGCAGGGGAUCUUCGGACCUUGCGCGAUUGAAUGAGCCGAUGUGGGAUUAGCUAGUUGGCGGGGUAAAGGCCCACCAAGGCGACGAUCCGUAGCUGGUCUGAGAGGAUGAUCGGCCACACGGGAGCGGGGACACGGACCAUGCUCCUACGGGAGGCAGCAGUGGGGAAUAUUGGACAGUGGGGGCAAGCCUGGUCCAGCCAUACCGCGUGGGUGAAGAAGGCCUUCGGGUUGUAAAGCCCUUUUGUUGGGAAAGAAAAGCAGCAGGCUAAUACCCCGCUGUUCUGACGGUACCCAAAGAAUAAGCACCGGCUAACUUCGUG
RNAcentral lists this ribosomal RNA (492 nucleotides) under uncultured bacterium. RNAcentral describes it as "partial 16S ribosomal RNA". It matches the Rfam family "Bacterial small subunit ribosomal RNA", at positions 29 to 507 of the family's 1533-position model. The record is from RNAcentral.